GACCCACAGGUUGAGAACCGCUAGCAGGGUUGCCUGAGACCAUCGGAAAACACAGAUAUUUACAUGACGACUCAUAACAGUAGCACAAUGACAGUGAUGAAGGAGCAACGAAAAUGAUUUCAUGGCUGGGGGUCACCACAGCAUGAGAAACUGUAUUAAAGGGGCCAGUAUGUUGAGAACCACUGGGU
Molecule: long non-coding RNA, 188 nt
Organism: Pipistrellus kuhlii (Kuhl's pipistrelle)
Lineage: Eukaryota; Metazoa; Chordata; Mammalia; Chiroptera; Vespertilionidae
Exons: 4
Source: RefSeq, a predicted model, not a curated record